UACGUAGGUGGCAAGCGUUGUCCGGAUUUACUGGGCGUAAAGGGAGCGUAGGCGGAUUUUUAAGUGAGAUGUGAAAUACUCGGGCUCAACUUGAGUGCUGCAUUUCAAACUGGAAGUCUAGAGUGCAGGAGAGGAGAAUGGAAUUCCUAGUGUAGCGGUGAAAUGCGUAGAGAUUAGGAAGAACACCAGUGGCGAAGGCGAUUCUCUGGACUGUAACUGACGCUGAGGCUCGAAAACGUGGGGAGCAAACAGG
This 253-nucleotide ribosomal RNA is filed under the name uncultured bacterium. RNAcentral's name for it is "partial 16S ribosomal RNA". It matches the Rfam family "Bacterial small subunit ribosomal RNA", at positions 524 to 776 of the family's 1533-position model. The record is from RNAcentral.